AGAUCUUCAACCAUCAAAUGAAAAUUCAACUUCUUUUCAUAAGUUCCAAGGCAGAGGGGACACAUUUGGGAAAACGCUGCUUUUUUGCCUUUUUACUGGCUGAAGCACCUUCUGAACAGGCAUGGGGAAGCUACAGGGGUCAGUGGCUUUUGUUAGCUAAAGAACCCAGAGAUGGGACUUUUCCUUUCCUUAAGGCCAGGGCUUGCCAGCUCCUCCCAUCUUUUAGAGGAACCCCAAAGCAUACCCUUUUCUACAUUCUGCUACCCCCUGGCCCCCCCCAGACCUGAAAUGGCUCCCUUCAGUCUCUCUUUUCUUCAGCCCCCCAACACUUGUCUCACCAGGCCCAGCUUUUCCUUCUGGAUGUCGCUUGCCGCCCGCCUAUCCUCCCACCUGCCUCCUGAGGCCUGGUUUGGAGGUUCUCCUCCUUCCAGGAGCCCAGCGCUGCCUCUAGGAGAGAGAAUUAUCCUGGAAACUCCCCCUUCUCCCUGCCUGACAGCAGCCCCUGCUGAACUCCACAGCCGCAGCUGGGAGCCAUUUAAAUAGCUGAUGCAGGGUGGGCUGGUGGCUACUGCCUGUAAUCCCACACUUUGGGAGGCUGAGGUGGGAGCACUGCUUCAGCCUAGGAGUUCAAAACCAGCCUGGGCACUAUAGCAAGGACCCUGUCUCUAAAAAAGAAAAAAAAUAGCUGAUCUGCAUCUGAAAGGAGAUAAGCAGUUUCCUGAGCGGUAUACUGUGCAGUAUCCAGCUUCGUAAACUAAGGGCAUACACACUGUAGACAUGUCCAUGCAUAUCUGCACAAGGAAAGAAAACGCAUGGAGGUGAGGGUGUUGGUGGCUAACUCUGGGUGGUGGGAUUUGGGGUGAUUUUUUUCUCCUGCGUUGCUUAGCUGUGCUUUUAAAUUUUAUUUUUUCACGUAUGUUUGCAACAACGAAAACUCAUGAUAAGUGUCAAUAAAUCGGCAGCUCUCGUUUGGUUCCUCAUUAGCUGUGUAACCUCAAACAAAGUACUUAACCUCUCAGGCUCCUCAUCUCAAAUACAUCCCACCUCCCUCCUCCUCUGAGAUGCCGCGGGAUUCAUCUCUCUCCCACAGCCAGAUUGCAAGCAGCUAGAGAGCAGGCAGGUGCUAAAUAAAUCCUCAGUGACUGAGCCCGGAGCCAAACACAUUUAUCCUUGUCAUCCAUCCAAUUCUGUGCAGCUGGGAUGGAGCCCAAGGCGCUGAGGACAACAUAAAUCUGCUCUUUGGGCCACACCCAUUUCUUCUCCAAGCAGAUGUGGUAGCCGGGAGCCAAGUCUUGGGGGCUCAGCGCUGGGCUGAGAAGGGGACGAGCUCCAGGCCCGGUGAGUUGGAAGUCUCGGAGAAAGGCUGACUGGCUUCACCUCGCCUCCGCCGCCCAGGGGCUGUGUGAGCAGGCUUUGGCAGCGAUUUCUCCAGCAGGAAGGGAUGAAGCCCUGACCAGGUUCAGAGGCAGCGGGUCAGGACCGUGCCUGGGCUCAGUCCCGCCCUGGCUCCUUCGCUUCUCGCCGCUGUGAGCCUGGGCAGUGGCUUCGCUGCUCUGGGCCCCACUUUCCUCAAGCGUUAGCAGGACAGUGGCACUCUAUUUUGGAAUCUCAUGAGAAUAAAAUGAGAUGAUGCAUGGACAACCUGCACAUAGCAAGUGCUAAUAAUUACCAUCUCUUAAGUUGGUUUGAAGGUCCAAAGCCAGUCCCUAAUUGAGUAGCCUCCGGUAGCUCAAAGUACAUGGCUGGCUUAAGGCCUGGGAUCCUUUCCCAGUGCUAACCGAGCUGCCAUAAAUGUAACUCAUGGAAAGCAAGCUCCAGGUCUGACAUGGGCGGGGCCCAUCCUGCUGAGAUACAGUACAGCCUCAAGUGGAUUUAUUAACCCAAAGAAACUAGCAGCACAACUUGUGUGCUGACACCUGCUAGUCACUUCAUACCUCACGAUCCCCUUUUCACGGAACAGGACAUCCAUCUAGGCACAGAGAGGAUAAGGUUCUGCCCAAAGCCACACAGCAUGAUAAAUGGCGGAACUUGGGUCUAAAUACUGCAUCAGAAGACAGUAUCUCUGCUCACCCCUAUUUUGUUUUGCAACCUCUGGAAUUUUCCAUUCCAUUUGUUUAACGCCACUUAUAAUGAAGGCCUCCUCAUGCAUCUUGAGAAGGCAUGUGUUCAGUGGUACAGUAUACAAACUCACUUCUCCCACAUGCUGGCCGCACUAAGUGCCACACCUUGAAAUAAUUCUGAGACAUUCUUCUUAGGAUAUUUGUGGCAUAAGGAGGAAGCCCUUGGUGCCUUCGUGCAGCUGUGUUCCUCUAGGAUAGCAAUUGUGAUAAAGACCCAGGGCCGGCUGGUGACUGAAACGGGAGUGGUUUCUACCAAAUCCUGUGAGCAAUUUAGACUCUCUUGGGUAUUCCCUAAACAGUCAUCAUCAGACUGGGAGGAGAGAGCAAAUAUUACCUGAAAUGAGGCCGCUUGGUGGAAGACAUUGGAGAAACACAGCUGGAAAGAUGGACGCUCUGCGGUUCAGAAACACUGGAGUUUCACAUUUGACCUCUGGCUUUCAUGUGAGAUGAAAGGACAGAACACUUUUCCAAAGUUAUUUUCUCUUUACAUGAGUUCAAGGGCUGUGGUGAAAGUGAGGAAUCCAAAGUCUACCCAGACUACUUCCUCUUAUUUUGAUUUAUGCCAGUGGUUUAUAACUUUUUAUAAUAAAUAUUUUGUAAACUCC
Molecule: long non-coding RNA, 2725 nt
Filed under: Homo sapiens (human)
Lineage: Eukaryota; Metazoa; Chordata; Mammalia; Primates; Hominidae
Description: HSALNT0032844
Source: RNAcentral